UAUUUUGACUAUACGAAGGUAUUGAAAUAAGAUUUUAAAUGAGUGCUAAGAGAAUGAUUAAACAAUUAAAAGCUUUCUUUAAUUGAAUAAUUGAAUUUAAUUUUUUAGUGCAAAAGCAAAAAUAAAAAUUAGGGACAAGAAGACCCUAUGAAUUUUUAUUAAAUUUUAUAAAACUUUAUAUAAAAUUUAAUUUAAUUGGGGUGAUGGAAAAAGAAUAAAUAUCUUUUUUUUUAAAAAAAAUUGGUUCCGUUUUUAGCGAUUAAAUGAAAAAAAUA
RNAcentral lists this ribosomal RNA (275 nucleotides) under Ixodes ricinus (castor bean tick). RNAcentral describes it as "partial large subunit ribosomal RNA". The record is from RNAcentral. Lineage: Eukaryota; Metazoa; Arthropoda; Arachnida; Ixodida; Ixodidae.